RNAcentral lists this long non-coding RNA (3204 nucleotides) under Canis lupus familiaris (dog). RNAcentral's name for it is "lncRNA (ENSCAFG00845008454.1)". The record is from RNAcentral. Lineage: Eukaryota; Metazoa; Chordata; Mammalia; Carnivora; Canidae.
UGAAAGACACAGAGAGAGAGAGGCAGAGACAUAGGCAGAGGGAGAAGCAGGAUCCAUGUGGGGAGCCCAAUGAGGGACUCAAUCCCAGGACCUUGGGAUCACAACCUGAGCCAAAGGCAGACACUCAACUGCUGAACCACUUAGAUGUCCCCCAUUGUCUGCAGUUCAUAGUAUGUGGCAUUUGGUAAAGUUAUCUAACAAGGUAAUUUUGCCAAUAACUUGUUUUUUUCUUCCUAAGGAAAAUAUUAGUUCUUAACUUUGCAACUGGUUUUAUAAACUCCUCAGCAAUUUCAUGAUUUGUCCCUUUGUGAAAGUGCCAUAAAAUUUGAAUGUGUCAUGCAACUAGUUGACAAGAUGCCAUAAUAGUCAAUACAUUGGGAAUUAGGGACAACUGAAUUGCAGUUGUCCUACAAAAUAGAAUUUAGGUUAUUCAUCAAAUAUUAAUUUUAAAUUUUGGGAAACAAAUUAGGAAAUACUAAUAAAAGGUAAGAAGUACAUACUCCAGGAGAGAAGUAAUAUAGUGAAAUGGCUACACCUAUGGGUUUGGAAUCAGUUUGUAUUGGUUAUAAUUCUAGCUUUAUGUGGAACUUCUGUCAAGUUAUUUGUCUAUAUUAAUACUCAAUCACUGGUUUGGUAAAAUGACAUUAAUGCUGGUACCUACCUUACAGGGUUAUUAUAGUAACUAUGUAAAUAGUCACUAUAUAAAUAGUUACUAUAAUAACAUAUACAUUAUAUAUUAUAUAUAUAAAAUGCUCUUACUUUGUCACAUAGUUGUCAUUCAAUAAUUGGUGGUUACAUUUGAGAAUGAAAGGAGAAAUAUUUAGAAAAGGGCACAGGGAGUUUCAUAAAAAGAUGGAAACACUGUUUGCAAUCUAAAUAUUAGAUAUAGAAAUAAGGUUAAAAAUUAUGGUUCAAACAAAGGAUAGAGUUAUCCUGAUGCAGUUAAAACAAUACCACUGACUUAUAUUUAUUGACAUAAAAAUAUAUUGAAGAUAGAGUCACAAGACUAAAGAAACUUAUAAAACUCUAUGAUGUCAUCCCAUUAAUAGCAACAAAAAAUUAUUAGUUGUAAGUAUGCACAGAAUAUACCUUUAAAACCUAUACACCAGGGCAGGCCGGGUGCCCCCCAAAAUAUUUUAUUUAUUUCUAAUUUUUAAGAUUUUAUUUAUUUAUUCAUGAGAGACGCAGAGAGAGAGACAGAGAGAGGCAGAGACAUAGGCAGAGGGAGAAGCAGGCUCCAUGCAAAAAUCCUGAUGUAGGACUUGAUCCUGGGACUCCGGGAUCACACCUUGAGCCAAAGGCAGAUGCUCAACCACUGAGCCACCCAGGCGUCCCAAAAUAUUUUAUUUUAAAAUGCAUUUUCCUCUCUGUUUAUAUCUCUUCUCUUUACUUCUCUCUUUCAACUCUCCAAAACUUAUUUAUCUGAUAUAUGUUUUUAAAAGAUUUGCUUAUUUAUUUGAGAGAGAGAGGGGGAGACUGUGCACAUGACAGGGGAGGCAGAGACAGAGAAUCUCAAGCAGACUCUCUGCUGAGCAUGGAGCCUGUCACAGGGCUUGAUUCCAUGACCCUGAGAUUGACCUGAGCCAAAAUCAAGAGUCAGAUGCUCAACUGACUAAGCCACCCAGACACCCCCUGUGUCUGAUAUUUUUUUAAAAACUUGUCAAUCUUAUAUUUAUCGGGGCUUCUCUAUUUAGGAGUCAUGAAAAGGGAAGUACUUAAACAUAUCUGAAAUUAUUUUAAAAAUUACUCUUACUUAGUUCAACUAUUACAAUUCUACAGUAAAAAUUAAGUGAAGUAGAAUUAUAGCUGCCCAACAGAGGAGCAUAGGAACUUGCAAAUAAAUAUCUCUUCAAAGAUCAAAAAGCAAAAUUUAUUUUUUGUUUGAGAGACUACUGAUUUUGGAAAUAAUCUUAACAAGGUAUAAUCUAUACAAACAUACAAAACUAGAUAAGGCAAAAUAAAACUAUUUUUGGUCGGUCCGUAAAUUGGUGCUUGAUAAUCUCUUCUGCAGAGUUGUAGAACUAAUAGUUAAAAGUUAUUGAAAUGUAUUACAUAUGAGGUACUAAAUCGCAUAUAGAAAUUAUACAGAUUAAUUCUGUUAACUGUCUGAGAAGACAGGGGUAGUUUUAUCCUCAUUUCAUAGAUAAAGAUGUGUAGCAUAGCAUGGUUAAAUAACUUUGUCCAGGGUUCCUCAAUGAGCAAGUUGUAAUUGAGCAAGCUGAGCAAGCUCAGAACUGAAACUUACUGGUCUGCUUUCCCUAUUUAUUAACUGAACCUCAAAAGAUGUUUGUAUUAUUUUAAAAAGUUAUUUAAAAAAAUUGAUUACUCAAGUGUUUGCAAUGAUCAUUACUGUUUUCCUUUUACUUUAUAUUCUUCUUCUAGCUGCUUUCAUAGUUAUUUAAGCAAAGCAUCAUAGAAAUGAAGGUAGCGUUUUAAGAAAAGAAUUGGGGUCUGAAUGUGGGAAAAGUUUCUUUAGAGUUCUAUCUCUCUGGUGCUAUCAUUUCGGGCAAUGGCAUUUAAAGUUUUUGACUGUGACCUAAAGUGAAACACACAUAUAAUGCACAUGCACACCAAUGAUCCAUACAGUCCACAUAUAUGCAAGAAUAUUAAAGAAAGAAAAGUCUGAACCAGAAAAAAUAGUAUGCUUUUUGCUUAUUUGUCUUGCAUUUUUAGAAUAAGAGUCUGUAAUAGGACUUUGAUUAUUUCACAAAGUUUUUGAGAGAGCUUAUAAGAACUGUUACAUGCUUCUUACAUUUUAACACAUACUAUUAUAGUAUCUCAAAACAUACUAGCAAGUAUUUCCUAAGUUCAAAAAUGAAUGUGUCCAAAGAGAGAGAGAGAGAGAGAGAGAGAGAGAGAGAGAGAGAAUGUGUCUAAAUCUCUAGGAGCAGGACUUAACAAAAUAAAUUUGAGUUAGCAGAAAUAGUCAAUAAAACAUGCCUAAUGGAGUACUGACAAGCUUCCAAACUGCCAUCUCUCCAUCUUACUACCAGUCCAGUGAUAGUUUUCAACAUUUUUGUGAAGAUAUUAAAGAUAUUAUCCUAUAUCUAUUUUCUAUCAUCUAAUUCAUCUUCCUCUAUUAUCUGAACCAUGUCUGCUAUGGAAUGCACACCUAUACAGGAUAACCAGAUUGUAACAUGCAGCUGAAAUUGGAGAAGGUCAGAUUCUAUUUUAGGCAAAAUAACUGACAUUUUGCUCAUUUUC